UUUAUUGGGGUAAGUAGCAGGGCAGUACCAUGAGAGGAGUAGAACAGGAAGAAGGCAGAAUUGAGACCUUUCAAAGUUUUGGCCCAAGCAGGUGGGCAUGAGGGCAUCAUUUGAGCUUCCCGCCUCAGAUGCCAAAAUGUUGUGGGCCGGCCCUGACAGGGGGUUGGACUAGAUGACCUCCUGAGGUCUC
Molecule: long non-coding RNA, 190 nt
Organism: Dermochelys coriacea (leatherback sea turtle)
Lineage: Eukaryota; Metazoa; Chordata; Testudines; Dermochelyidae
Exons: 3
Source: RefSeq, a predicted model, not a curated record